CACUGGGGGUGGGCUUUUCGGUUUCAAAAGACUGCUUUGUUCCCAAUGUUCUGGCUCUCUCUCUGCCCCCUACUUUCAGAUCAAGAUAUGAACUCUCAGCUGUCCCUGCUGCCAUGAAUUUGCCAUGGACUAUGAUCCUCUGAAACUAUUGGCCAGAUAGUUCUGCUUGUCAAGAUGUUGCUGGGUGCUGAGACCAGCAGCUUUGCUCUCAAGCCCACAGGUGGUGCUGGCUGCCAGCUGGGAGCUCAACAGGGCUGUGAACCAAUGCAUUUGGUCUUCCUCCACAGGAGCCUUUCUUGUUGGAUGUUUUCCUCACUACAGGAGGACCUGAUGGAGAAGGGAUCCUUGUGCAUCGAUUUACUGUCUUUCUGCCCCUGCUCUCUGCCCAGAAGCACUGACCUCCGUGACUACACCAGCAGUUCCCUUGUCACCUGCCUUCCCCUGUUCUUAGGGGAUGCUUGGCAUGGGAGUAGGAGGAAGUCAAGGAGACCAGAGAGACUUCUUCCCUCACUUCCUUCAUGCUGUGGUGCUGUCAUGCUGCAGUGGCUAUCCAGUAUCCAGCCUUCAUGGCCUAAGCAGAGUAAACUUUCUUCAUCUUGUACCCAUAUGUAAGGGGACAGAAAUCACCCUAGGGCCUGUCUACACCUCUUGUUUCCCUGAACUCUGCUCCCAUCUUUGUACACAAUACCUUUAAUAAACCAC
Molecule: long non-coding RNA, 702 nt
Filed under: Cricetulus griseus (Chinese hamster)
Lineage: Eukaryota; Metazoa; Chordata; Mammalia; Rodentia; Cricetidae
Description: lncRNA (ENSCGRG00015041754.1)
Source: RNAcentral